UGGGGAAUUUUGGACAAUGGGCGAAAGCCUGAUCCAGCAAUGCCGCGUGUGUGAAGAAGGCCUUCGGGUUGUAAAGCACUUUUGUCCGGAAAGAAAUCCUUGGCUCUAAUACAGUCGGGGGAUGACGGUACCGGAAGAAUAAGCACCGGCUAACUACGUGCCAGCAGCCGCGGUAAUACGUAGGGUGCAAGCGUUAAUCGGAAUUACUGGGCGUAAAGCGUGCGCAGGCGGUUUGCUAAGACCGAUGUGAAAUCCCCGGGCUCAACCUGGGAACUGCAUUGGUGACUGGCAGGCUAGAGUAUGGCAGAGGGGGGUAGAAUUCCACGUGUAGCAGUGAAAAUGCGUAGAGAUGUGGAGGAAUACCGAUGGCGAAGGCAGCCCCCUGGGCCAAUACUGACGCUCAUGCACGAAAGCGUGGGGAGCAAACAGGAUUAGAUACCCUGGUAGUCCACGCCCUAAAACGAUGUCAACUAGUUGUUGGGGGAUUCAUUUUCCUUAGUAACGUAGCUAACGCGUGAAGUUGACCGCCUGGGGAGUACGGUCGCAAAGAUUAAAACUUAAAGGAAUUGACGGGGUCAUAGCUGUUUCCU
Molecule: ribosomal RNA, 590 nt
Filed under: uncultured bacterium
Lineage: Bacteria
Description: partial 16S ribosomal RNA
Rfam family: Bacterial small subunit ribosomal RNA
Source: RNAcentral